GUCGCACGAGAAAGCCCGAAGCUUGCUUUGGGCGAGUAAAGUGGCGCACGGGUGAGUAACGCGUGGAUAAUCUACCUUCGAGUCCGGGAUAACACUUCGAAAGAGGUGCUAAUACCGGAUGAUAUCACGAAGACUUUGGUUUUCGUGAUCAAAGAUGGCCUCUGCAAGCAAGCUGUUGCUUGAAGAUGAGUCCGCGUACCAUUAGCUUGUUGGUGGAGUAAGAGCCUACCAAGGCGACGAUGGUUAGCUGGUCUGAGAGGAUGAUCAGCCACACUGGCACUGAUACACGGGCCAGACUCCUACGGGAGGCAGCAGUGAGGAAUUUUGCGCAAUGGGGGAAACCCUGACGCAGCGACGCCGCGUGAGUGAAGAGGGCUUUCGGGUCGUAAAGCUCUGUCAAGUGGGAAGAACCCUUUCGGUGUUAACAGCAUCGGGAGCUGACGGUACCACUGAAGGAAGCACCGGCUAACUCCGUGCCAGCAGCCGCGGUAAUACGGAGGGUGCAAGCGUUAUUCGGAAUUACUGGGCGUAAAGGGCGCGCAGGCGGCCUGUCAAGUCAGUUGUGAAAGCCCGGGGCUCAACCCCGGAAGUGCGACUGAAACUGGCAGGCUUGAGUAUGGGAGAGGGAAGUGGAAUUCCUGGUGUAGCGGUGAAAUGCGUAGAUAUCAGGAGGAACACCAGUGGCGAAGGCGACUUCCUGGACCAAUACUGACGCUGAGGCGCGAAGGCGUGGGUAGCAAACAGGAUUAGAUACCCUGGUAGUCCACGCAGUAAACGGUGAUCACUAGGUGUUGCGGGCUUUGAUGUCUGCAGU
Molecule: ribosomal RNA, 814 nt
Filed under: uncultured bacterium
Lineage: Bacteria
Description: bacterial SSU rRNA
Rfam family: Bacterial small subunit ribosomal RNA
Source: RNAcentral